This 480-nucleotide ribosomal RNA is filed under the name uncultured bacterium. RNAcentral's name for it is "bacterial SSU rRNA". It matches the Rfam family "Bacterial small subunit ribosomal RNA", at positions 29 to 478 of the family's 1533-position model. The record is from RNAcentral.
AACGAACGCUGGCGGCGUGGAUAAGACAUGCAAGUCGAACGCUGAUUUCAGGGUAGCAAUAUUCUGAAGUCGGAGUGGCGCAAGGGUGCGUAACACGUGGGUAUCUGCCGUGAAGUUGGGGAUAACUUGCUGAAAGGCGAGCUAAUACCGAAUGUGAAAAUUAGGAGGCAUCUCUCGAUUUUCAAAGUUGGGGACCGCAAGGCCUGACGCUUCACGAUGAGCCCGCGGCCUAUCAGCUAGUUGGUGAGGUAACGGCUCACCAAGGCUAAGACGGGUAGCUGGUCUGAGAGGACGACCAGCCUCACUGGAACUGAGACACGGUCCAGACACCUACGGGUGCAGCAGUCGAGAAUUUUUUCUCAAAUGGGCGAAAGCCUGAAGGAGCGGACGCCGCGUGGGGGAUGAAGGGCUUCGGCCCCGUAAACCCCUGUCAUUUGCGAACUAAACCUUUCCACUUAACACGUGGAGAGCUGAUUGUAG